CAUUUCUGAUGGAACCAUAAACUCAUUUCUGUUGGAACCAUAAACACGUAUUUCUGUUGGAACCAUAAACACAUUUCUGUUGGAACCAUAAACUUAUUCUUGUUGGAACCAUAAACUCAUUCCUGUUGGAACCAUAAACACAUUUCUGUUGGAAUCAUAAACUCAUUCCUGUUGGAACCAUAAACUCAUUUCUGUUGCAACUAUAAACUCAUUCCUGUUGGAACCAUAAACACAUUUCUGUUGGAACCAUAAACACAUUUCUGUUGGAACCAUAAACACAUUUCUGUUGGAACCACACAUUUACUUGUGGAGGAACUAUAAAUUAACCCAUUACUCCAGGAACCAUGAACACAUUACUGCCAAAACCAUAAUUCAUUUCUUUUGGAACCAUAAACGCAUUACUAUUGGAACCAUAAACUCAUUUCUGUUGGAACCAUAAUCACAUUUCUGUUGGAACCGAUAAACGAUAAACGAUUUUCGGCUAGAACCAUAACCCCAUUACUGUUGGAUUCAUAAACCCAUUUUUUUUGGAAAAAACUACCUCAUUCCUAUUGGGGCGAUUUUAGAACAAUCAUUUUAGAACAAUAAACCCAUUCCCGUUGGAAUCAUAAGCAACGACCAGUCGUGUAAGAACCAUAAACCGCCGUAAAUUGGAAUCAUUUCCUUAUUACUAUUGGCACCAUACACCUUUCAACCAUGGAAUCAUAAACACAUUCCUUUAGGAACCAUAGACCCAUUGGAACUAUGACAAAAUAGGACCCUCGAGGCUUUGAUACAAAGUUAUUACCCAAUACUACAAUAAAAACUAUUUUCAGAUUAUGGAGGUGGAAGAAUGUAUAUUGAUUGAUUGAUUAAAGCCUGAAAUGUAUAUUUUACCAAUCCUUCUCAUCUGUUCUGCACCUACGAUUUUGGGAAAUACUGAAAGGCAUAAGCAAGAUUUUCUGCCUGCUCCAUAUACAGGAUCCCACCUGAAAGUUUCUACAGUAGCAGGAAUGCUGACGAACCUACCUUGUAAUAUAACUCCUAGUAUACAAGAUGACAGAGUACUCCUAGUACUCUGGU
This is a long non-coding RNA of Eurytemora carolleeae, 1062 nucleotides long. RefSeq lists it as uncharacterized. The record is from RefSeq and is a predicted model, not a curated record. The transcript has 3 exons. NCBI's taxonomy places the organism in Eukaryota, Metazoa, Arthropoda, Copepoda, Calanoida, Temoridae.